Molecule: long non-coding RNA, 766 nt
Organism: Salmo salar (Atlantic salmon)
Lineage: Eukaryota; Metazoa; Chordata; Actinopteri; Salmoniformes; Salmonidae
Source: RefSeq, a predicted model, not a curated record
AACUCAAGGACUAUCAGAGGUAGAGAGGCGAGGCAGGGGUGAGGACAUCAUCCUGCUAUUUUGACAGUCCCUGAAGGACAAUACAGAAGAGGGAUUUGCUCUUAUUCCUUCCCUUUCUCUAAUGUAUUUUCUAGUAAAAUUAGCAAGUGUAGUACGAUGCUUUACUUUACUAGGACUGGAGACCACAGCAGCGAUCCUGCUCUUGCCCUACCUCUUCCAUGAGGACAAGGUCCGUGACAAGAUUUCACCGCUCUUCACUCCUUUACUGCACAUCGGUGGAAAUCCAUUUCACCAUGAGAGUGAAAUCCCGCUGGCCUUUGAUGGGGAGAACAUCCAGGCCCUUGAGGACGCCCCCAUGGGACUUGGAGCUCUGCUACGGCUGGAUUUUUUAUUUUCCCUUAAAUUUCCCAAAAAUGUCAGAAAAACACUUAUGUUGUUAAGUUACUGUGUUCUGGGGAUCAGAGAAGUUGGGGUGAAGUUACCAGGGCCGGUCAUAAAGAUGGAAAACUUCCUAACAUAACUAAGUGGAUACGAUAUACACACUAAAGCUGAAAAAUCUGUAUCUUGCAUCAAGUCUACAAUAUUGUUAGUUGACCUAUGAUUCAUUUUUAAUGUUGUUUUUAUAGUACAUCAUUAUACAAAGAAAUGUAUUAUUAAUUAUGGUCUGACAUGUCUGCAGAAAUGUUGCAAUAUUGUAAUAUGUUUUGUUUGGUAAAUAUUAAUUCAUAUUUGUGGUGGCACUAAAAUAAACAAUGCAUUAUUUAAA